This 509-nucleotide long non-coding RNA is filed under the name Trifolium pratense (red clover). RNAcentral describes it as "long non-coding RNA (TPRA_LNC010464)". The record is from RNAcentral. Lineage: Eukaryota; Viridiplantae; Streptophyta; Magnoliopsida; Fabales; Fabaceae.
AGUUUAACUACUUUGUGUUGAUACAAAUUACUUAAAAUAAUUCUUUUUUCAGAGGAAUGGCAAUCCGAAAGAGUACAAGGUGUUCCAGAAGGAGAGCCAAUUGAGGUGGAACACCAUAAUUUGGAUGAUGGUAUAAUACCAGAAAGAGUGUAAGAUGUUCUAAUGGAAGAACCAGUUGAGGUGGAACACCAGAAUUUGGAUGAUGGUAAUAUUCUUUUCUAUACACCAGUAACCUAAGGUUUUAGAGGAACUCGUGAGAAACUGCAAUUUACUUCAGUUUAUACUACAUUGUGCUUACAUCCAUUAUAUGGCAGUCGUGGACAAUCAAGAGAAGCAUUGUGGAAGGAAAAGAAAAAGUGUAUAGAGUUCAAAAGAAAGUGAAGUUGCUCAUGAGGAGGGUAUAAUUCUUUCCUUUACCUCGCUAAUCCUUUUUUUUAUUAUCAUAAUAUUUAAUAUUUAAUCACCUUUUUCUUUCUUUUUUUAUCUUUAAAACGAUGCGUUUCAUUACU